This 253-nucleotide ribosomal RNA is filed under the name uncultured bacterium. Its description in RNAcentral is "partial 16S ribosomal RNA". It matches the Rfam family "Bacterial small subunit ribosomal RNA", at positions 524 to 776 of the family's 1533-position model. The record is from RNAcentral.
UACGUAGGGUGCGAGCGUUGUCCGGAAUUAUUGGGCGUAAAGGGCGCGUAGGCGAUUUGAAAAGUCUUGUGUGAAAGCCCCGGGCUUAACCCGGGAAGUGCACAAGAAACUGUUGAAUUUGAGUUCCGGAGAGGAAGGCAGAAUUCCCAGUGUAGCGGUGAAAUGCGUAGAUAUUGGGAGGAACACCAGUGGCGAAGGCGGCUCACUGGACCGGAACUGACGCUGAUGCGCGAAAGCGUGGGGAGCAAACGGG